This 2868-nucleotide long non-coding RNA is filed under the name Marmota monax (woodchuck). The record is from RNAcentral. Lineage: Eukaryota; Metazoa; Chordata; Mammalia; Rodentia; Sciuridae.
CGUGCGCAGGGCUCCCGGCGGAGGGUGGUGUCUGCGGCUCGCGGGCUGCGAGGCGGGGGACUCCCUGGCUUCCUACUGCUCAGAAGAGCCAGCCCCGGAGCUCCGAAGGCCGCCGGAGGGCCGUGGGGACACCGCCACAGACACUUGUUUGCAAGGCUCAGCCCCGGCGCGCGCGCGGCGCUCGGAACGGGUCCGCCUCCUCGCGGCCGGCUGGGCGGCGGCGCCCGCGCCUUGCCAGCCGUGCUCCUCCUCCAACUCCUCCUCCUGGCGGGCGAAGCCCCGGCACCGGCACGGCGGGGUCGCCGCCCCAGUCCCCUCCAGGCGGACGCCCUGGGCUCGGGGACCCGGCAGGCCCGGCGCAGCAGGCCUCCUUCCCUACGGCUUCGCCGAGGAGUGAUCGGGCGCAGCGCCCGCGGCGCCGCCACGCCGUGCGCUCUCGGUGUCCGCCUGCAGGCUUCUCUCCCGGGUUAUUGCCGGCAGCAACUGCUGCCUCGGGACACGCACGAUUACACCGUCACUCGCAAACCCAUUCUUGCAACUGCCAAGACCUGACGAGCCACGGCGCGGAGAGGUGACCCUCCCCGGCCUGUACCCCAACCCCGCGCGCUUCCUCUUCCUCCCCAUCGGGGCGCUGGGUCGAGUCGCCGGGGGACUCUACUGAUGACCCGGGAACGGGGUGGGGCGCCCGAUGACAGGUCAGGGAGCGGCCGUCCGAGACAGGCCUGACUCUGGGAAGGACUGCGGGCGGGGGUCUCGAGGCCGAGCUUCCAAGGAAGGAGGAAAGAGAAGAGCCGAGGAAUCUGGGUCCCCUUGCCCCGGCUAGGGCUUCCCUCCCAUAGUAAAAGCCCCUUGGUAGCCAGGCUUUUUGAGUCGCUGCCUUCCGGCCCUUUCGCUCUCCACUUCUCCCCCACGGGCGCUCACAAUUGGCUUGUUUUAUUUCUCCCUCCUUUUCCCGGCGUACCCCCCUCACAAGCACUGGGACCGGGCGCCUGUCCGCUCCGCCCGCGCCUCCCUCCCCCAGGGGCCUGACAGCCGGGUGGGCCGGCGGGCGCAGCCACCUGGCCGCACCAGUCCCAGGCGCCUGCGCGCUCACGCCCUCUAGGCUUUGCAGCGGGGUCCAAGCCCUGGCUGCAGAGGGAGCCCAAGCUGGGGUGAGCACGGUCAAGGGGCCACUAUGGAGAGCGAAAGCAGCAGGCGGGAACGCUCGAUUUUCCGAGCCCCACUUUCCUUUCACAGCCCACUGGGAUGUGUAGUUCCUCCUGUCGCUGUCCGGCUCCGAGAGGAAACAAUGACUUUGGGACCAAAAAACUACAAGUCCCUGCAUCCCCCGCGAGGAGGGCGGGAGAGGCGCGGUGCUGGGCGUUCUGGCGCUCGGUGGUUGGAGAUGGGAACCAACAAAGGGGAGGGUGGGGUCGGUGCCUUCUCUGUGCUGACCACCUUGUGCUUUACACGUGUUCUUUGUCUGAUCUUCACCACAGCCCUGCUAGACACUAUUGAACUUGCCCAACAUCACAAAGCUCCCCGGUGGUAGAGAUGGCAUUGAACCCAGAGCUCUAUUUUCCUUACAAAGCAAGCCUUUCGGAGCAGUGUCACAAGGAGAAGAGGUUAACUGUCCAAAAGAGAAAAAGAAAUAUAGCCAGUUUCGAAAAGCUUCCUGUGGUCUGGAAAAAGUGGUGGGAAUGGCAAUUAGAAUAUGACGCGAAAUAACAGAGAGUUACCAAUUAAAAUGGAAUUUACAGGGGUCCAUUCCAAAGCAGAUUAGAGUCCUGGGGGAAUGGAUAGGCCCUUAAACACACUAUCAGAAUUAGUUUUCAAUAUUCUUUGACAGACAAACAUAUUACAGGGACAAUUCUGUGGCUGCAUUGUUCUUGAAAAUUCAACUGGCAAGUCUCUGACAUUUCAAAUGAAAGCUUUCAUGUCCUUUAGCUGUGGGGAUCAAGGAGGUGUCAUUCUAUUUGUUGCAAGCAUGUUUUCUCUGGGUAUCCAAUUAAUAUGCUAAAUCCAUUGUCUCCAUGACUUUUAAAAGACUCCCACUCUGGGAUUGGGGAUACAACUCAGUGGACUGGGGGCUUGCCAUUCCCAGCAACACCCCCCCCCCCAAGACUCCCACUGUUCUCAAUUAAACCCAGUUUUUCUGGCACCAUGGUUAUGCUCUGUUAGAGAUACCAAAUACUAAAAUAUUUACAAGUGAAAUGAUACAAAGUCUAAGAUGUGCUUUAAAACACUCCACCCAUCCACCUAUGAAAGACAAGGAAGUAUAGAAGAAACAACAUUGGAAACUGUUGAAAAUUGUUGGUGUUAGGUAAUGCACUGAAUUAUGUAUUGCUGAAAAUUACCACAAACUUAGUGGCUUUAAAACAACACAGAUUUACCUCCCAGUUCCUGUGGGUCAGGUGCUCAGCACAUUGAGUCCUCUGAGGAGGGUCUCACACCCGCUGCCAAGGUGUCAGCCAGGGUGUGUUCUCAUUGCCUGGAGAAUUGGCUUCCAUGCUGUUUGGGGGGCACUGGUAGGAGUCAUUGCUUUGCAACUGUAGAACUGAGCACCUGGCUUCUUCUUGGUUGUCCACUAGAGACUGUUCACAGCUCUAAGAGGUCACCUGCAGUUCCUAGUAAAAUACCUGUGGCUCAUUAUCUCCUGGCCUUCCCACCAUGGCCACUGACUUCAUCAUGCCAGCAAGGAAAGUCUGCUAGCAAAACAGACUCUGAUACAUCACAAUCACACAGAGGCCCCAUCUAGUGUGCACUUUUUGUUGGCCAGAAAACAAGUGAUUGGCUUCACAUACAUACACUCAUACAGGAUAACGGACACAGGAUGAGUGUGUCCACCCAGUGCAUAAGAGGGUUCGUUAUGACAUUCUUAUCUGUUAC